RNAcentral lists this ribosomal RNA (305 nucleotides) under uncultured bacterium. Its description in RNAcentral is "partial 16S ribosomal RNA". It matches the Rfam family "Bacterial small subunit ribosomal RNA", at positions 332 to 652 of the family's 1533-position model. The record is from RNAcentral.
CGCAUCCUACGGGGGGCAGCAGUGGGGGAUAUUGGACAAUGGGGGGAACCCUGAUCCAGCGACGCCGCGUGAGUGAAGAAGUAUUUCGGUAUGUAAGGCUCUGUCAGCAGGGAAGAAAGCAAUGACGGUACCUGACCAAGAAGCCCCGGCUAACUACGUGCCAGCAGCCGCGGUAAUACGUAGGGGGCAAGCGUUAUCCGGAUUUACUGGGUGUAAAGGGAGCGUAGACGGCGAAGAAAGUCUGAAGUGAAAGCCCGCGGCUCAACCGCGGAACUGCUUUGGAAACUUUUUUGCUGGAGUACCGG